RNAcentral lists this ribosomal RNA (41 nucleotides) under Russula sp. S144. RNAcentral describes it as "partial 5.8S ribosomal RNA". RNAcentral also lists the same sequence under 1 other name. Lineage: Eukaryota; Fungi; Basidiomycota; Agaricomycetes; Russulales; Russulaceae. The record is from RNAcentral.
CGCCCCUUGGUAUUCCGAGGGGUGCACCGUUUGAGUGUCGU